This 235-nucleotide ribosomal RNA is filed under the name uncultured bacterium. RNAcentral's name for it is "partial 16S ribosomal RNA". It matches the Rfam family "Bacterial small subunit ribosomal RNA", at positions 1257 to 1500 of the family's 1533-position model. The record is from RNAcentral.
GCAAUGGGAUGCGAAUCUCGAAAGCCUGUCUCAGUUCGGAUUGGAGGCUGAAACCCGCCUCCAUGAAGUUGGAUUCGCUAGUAAUCGCGCAUCAGCCAUGGCGCGGUGAAUACGUUCCCGGGCCUUGUACACACCGCCCGUCAAGCCAUGGGAGCCGGGGGUGCCUGAAGUUCGUGACCGCAAGGAGCGACCUAGGGCAAAACUGGUGACUGGGGCUAAGUCGUAACAAGGUAGC